CGCCCGGGAGAUCGCUGCCCGCGGCCACUCUGGACGGAGCGCCAGCCGGUAGCAGCAGGAGCCGCCGAAGAGUGGGCGCCAGCACCUGCUCAUUGGCAAGAGCCGCAGCCUCCGGAAGCGACCCCGCAGCCCCAGGUGCUCCCUGGGCCCUCCUAGCCGGGAAAACUGCCUGAGGCCGAGCGGACAGCAGCAGCCCCCAAAGGUGCUCCACAGAGGGGCCGUCUGCCUGGCAGGUGCUCAGACCAUCCCUCCAACCUGUCCCAAGCUCAGAGCAAGGGAGCAGGACCAGGGGGCGCUGAACAACUGAGGGAUGUGGACCAGGGACGAAAUAAAUCACUACUUAUUGGAUUGGA
Hyaena hyaena (striped hyena) is the source of this 353-nucleotide long non-coding RNA. RefSeq lists it as uncharacterized. The transcript is spliced from 2 exons. The record is from RefSeq and is a predicted model, not a curated record. Lineage: Eukaryota; Metazoa; Chordata; Mammalia; Carnivora; Hyaenidae.